CCACCCCGCGCGGGCAGACGCUUCUGUGUCGCGGGGAGAUGACGUAAGAGCCCGCCGUUGCCUGGCGAUGGGGUCCGAGCAGAGCGCCGAGGCUGAGGGCCGCCCUCACGACCCCGCGACAGACAUUAGGCUCGAAAGCAGGAAACCUACUUCACGUUUGGAAGCCAUUGAGAAGCCAUUCAUGUUUUCUCAGCCCCAGGAAGGGCAAACCACUUCUGAAAAACUUUGCCAUGAAAACUGCAGGGAUUAAUCCAGCAUCCCCUUCACCAGCCAAGCAACGAGCUAAAAUGGAUGAUAUUGUGGUGGUGGCCCAAGGGACUCAGGCAUCACGGAAUGUCAGCAGUGAUCCAGAUGUCAUAAAACUGCAAGAAAUCCCCACUUUCCAACCUCUGUUGAAAGGUCUUCUUAGUGGGCAGAUGUCUCCAACCAACAUUAAACUAGAAAAACUUGAUUCUCAGCAAGUACUACAGCUGUGUCUCCGGUACCAGGACCACCUCCACCAGUGCGCAGAAGCUGUGGCCUUUGACCAGAAUGCUUUAGUCAAGCGGAUUAAAGAGAUGGAUCUUUCGGUAGAAACGCUGUACACUUUAAUGCAAGAGCGCCAGAAGCGGUACGCCAAGUAUGCUGAGCAGAUCCAGAAAGUCAACGAGAUGUCCGCCAUCCUCCGCCGUGUCCAGAUGGGCAUUGACCUAACUGUCCCACUGAUGGAGAGGCUAAACAGCCUGCUGCCCGAAAACGAGCGGCUGGAACCUUUUUGUAUGAAACCGGACAGGGAGCUCAAGUUAUAGCUUCCAUCCGACCAUCUAUUCUCAGUCUUGACUGCAGGACCUUGCUUGAAGCUUCAGGCUCAGGGUGAUUAAAAGAAUCAACGGUGAUCUCCUGCCCCAACCCGGUUCCAUAUGCAGACUGGAAACUGAUUGGAGGAUAUCGCUAUGGGGAGGGGUCUCGCCUUCUUGCUUGUCAUCCGUCUUUGAGCUGACUCCCAAGCUUUUCCUUCUACAAGUUUCGGGGCUGACCGUUUUGGACGUUUGAUAGUGUGCCACAUUUUUGUUCUUUUUCUCUUUAUGUAUAUAUAAAAAAGAAGUUUGCUAUUCGAGUGUGGUGCAAUUUUUUUUCAUUUGAAAUCGUUUUGAUAACUUGUCGUAUUGUUAUCGGGAACUCCUGCGAGAGCCCUGUUUGAAACGGCAGCAGAUGCAUAUUUAAUAAACAUUACACGAUGUUGCUUACAGAAGAGGCAUUUUAAUGGAAAAGAAUUAGCUGUAAUUCUGAAAGUCCCUAACUUCUGGUUGCUCUUCUCUGUGAAAUGUUCAGUUUUGAUUGAUUGAUUUCCAGAACCUAACCCAUCUUUUAUUAAAAAUGAAUACAUAUAAAUGCAAUAAAACUGCAUUCAUAUUUUAUUGUACAACAACUCUAGUCAAGAAUUAACAGCCAAGAGCAUACCUCAAGUUGAUUUGUUGGGCAUUAACACACCAAAGAUAUAUUUAGAAAAACAUACUUGUUAGAAGUUCAUGUUUCUAACAAAAAUGUGUAUCACCUAAACUGGUUAUAUAUCCUUUGGCAGGAGUUUAAUAAACAGCUAGUUUUCUUCUAGCAGAAUAUUGUUACACCCGUUUUCUUAUUUUGUAAAUUCAACCUCAGUUGCUCAGUACAAACUCACUCCAUAGUUCUUGUCAAUAAAAUUCCCCAUAGCCAUUUUAAAGAAUGAAAACAAAUUUUUAAAUGUUACAUUUCCUAUUCCAAGCCAAAUUUUCACAGGGCUGCAACAUAUCUGAUUUAUGCUAAGACGCUGGCUCUUAACUGGGCUUGCUACAGAUAAAUUUGGGACUGCCAAGAGUUUUGGAAAGGCUAAUUCAAGCCCCCUGGAACAAUCCUGAUGCACAAAGUACUCUUAGGUGCUCAAUGGGUCACCAACCUUGAAAAACAGAAACUCUUGGAUGUCGUUGAAGCUUUCAUUGCCGAGUUCCUUUGGCACACAAGGCAAUCCUGAGCCAGAGAGAAAGAGAGAUAGAAAGCAGCAAUUUGCAAACUCCUAGGCAGGAAGAGAAAUCCCAUAUGGACUUGUGUGCUACUUCCAUUUAAUGUAGUAUGUGUCCUCUAGCAUUGAAUCAGUCUGGAAUGUUCUCCAUCAUGAUCAAUUAACAGCUAUAUCUUGAUAGAAGCAUAUCUCGGAUCCCUAAAAACAUAUCUUGCAUUAUUCCAAAUUGGGCAUAAAAAAACCAAACUGCUAUAAGGGGUUCCUUAGGAAUAUUUAAGUGUACCAAAAGGGGGUUAAUUUGAGUUCUUAACUACAGAAUAGGGAAGGUAGGAUGGUAUUUAAGUAGUUUUCUUGAAAACUCUGCAGAAGAUGCUCUGGGUACGAUAUGUAUUUUUCUUUGUUGAAAAUACAAUGUUUUCAUCGUUUGUUUUGGGGUUGUUGUUGUUUUUGCCUUGUAUUGAAUUUUCUUCUCUGAAUGGUGUAUGAACA
Ahaetulla prasina is the source of this 2464-nucleotide RNA transcript. It is a transcript of the gene named BLOC-1 related complex subunit 5, with no coding region annotated. The record is from RefSeq and is a predicted model, not a curated record. The transcript is spliced from 6 exons. Lineage: Eukaryota; Metazoa; Chordata; Lepidosauria; Squamata; Colubridae.